This 73-nucleotide transfer RNA is filed under the name Vicugna pacos (alpaca). RNAcentral's name for it is "tRNA-Ala (AGC) (tRNA-Ala-AGC-597-1)". It matches the Rfam family "tRNA". Rfam says of the family: Transfer RNA (tRNA) molecules are approximately 80 nucleotides in length. Their secondary structure includes four short double-helical elements and three loops (D, anti-codon, and T loops). The record is from RNAcentral. Lineage: Eukaryota; Metazoa; Chordata; Mammalia; Artiodactyla; Camelidae.
GGAGGGUGUAGCUCAGUGGUAGAGUGCGUGCUUAGCAUGCAUGAGGUUCUGGGUUCAAUCCCCAGCACCUCCG